GAGAGAGAGAGAGAGAGAGAGAGGCAACAUGAAUUACAACAUUGAGACUAUUUCUCUGCUAGUUUCAGGAUGAAACUUAAGCUGAGGUCACAAAAGGUGCUUAUGCUACACAGGAAUCUGUUGUUGUUUGUGUAUUCAGAUGAUCUCAGUCACCACUGUAUUUGGCCAGACUGCUUGCAAGAAACAGGCAUGGGAGGCAGUGCGGU
RNAcentral lists this long non-coding RNA (206 nucleotides) under Rattus norvegicus (Norway rat). RNAcentral's name for it is "long non-coding RNA NONRATT033319". The record is from RNAcentral. Lineage: Eukaryota; Metazoa; Chordata; Mammalia; Rodentia; Muridae.